AGAACGAACGCUGGCGGCAUGCCUAACACAUGCAAGUCGAACGAAGUCUUCGGACUUAGUGGCGCACGGGUGCGUAACGCGUGGGAAUCUGCCUUGGGUGCGGAAUAACUUCUCGAAAGGGAUGCUAAUACCGCAUAAUGUCGUAAGACCAAAGAUUUAUCGCCCAAGGAUGAGCCCGCGUAAGAUUAGCUAGUUGGUGGGGUAAAAGCCUACCAAGGCGACGACCUUUAGCUGGUCUGAGAGGAUGAUCAGCCACACUGGGACUGAGACACGGCCCAGACUCCUACGGGAGGCAGCAGUGGGGAAUAUUGGACAAUGGGCGAAAGCCUGAUCCAGCAAUGCCGCGUGAGUGAUGAAGGCCCUAGGGUUGUAAAGCUCUUUUACCAGGGAUGAUAAUGACAGUACCUGGAGAAUAAGCUCCGGCUAACUCCGUG
Molecule: ribosomal RNA, 434 nt
Filed under: uncultured bacterium
Lineage: Bacteria
Description: bacterial SSU rRNA
Rfam family: Bacterial small subunit ribosomal RNA
Source: RNAcentral